RNAcentral lists this ribosomal RNA (824 nucleotides) under uncultured bacterium. RNAcentral's name for it is "bacterial SSU rRNA". It matches the Rfam family "Bacterial small subunit ribosomal RNA", at positions 56 to 931 of the family's 1533-position model. The record is from RNAcentral.
UGCAGUCGAGCGCACCUUCGGGUGAGCGGCGGACGGGUGAGUAACGCGUGGGAAUAUGCCCUUCACUACGGAAUAGCCUCGGGAAACUGAGAGUAAUACCGUAUACGCCCUUCGGGGGAAAGAUUUAUCGGUGAAGGAUUAGCCCGCGUUGGAUUAGGUAGUUGGUGAGGUAACGGCUCACCAAGCCGACGAUCCAUAGCUGGUUUGAGAGGAUGAUCAGCCACACUGGGACUGAGACACGGCCCAGACUCCUACGGGAGGCAGCAGUGGGGAAUCUUAGACAAUGGGGGAAACCCUGAUCUAGCCAUGCCGCGUGAGUGACGAAGGCCCUAGGGUCGUAAAGCUCUUUCAGCUGUGAAGAUAAUGACGGUAGCAGCAGAAGAAACCCCGGCUAACUCCGUGCCAGCAGCCGCGGUAAUACGGAGGGGGUUAGCGUUGUUCGGAAUUACUGGGCGUAAAGCGCGCGUAGGCGGAUUAGUAAGUUAGAGGUGAAAUCCCGGGGCUCAACCCCGGAACUGCCUUUAAUACUGCUAGUCUUGAGUUCGAGAGAGGUGAGUGGAAUUCCGAGUGUAGAGGUGAAAUUCGUAGAUAUUCGGAGGAACACCAGUGGCGAANGCGGCUCACUGGCUCGAUACUGACGCUGANGUGCGAAAGUGUGGGGAGCAAACAGGNUUAGAUACCCUGGUAGUCCACACCGUAAACGAUGAAUGUCAGACGUCGGGUAGCAUGCUAUUCGGUGUCACACCUAACGGAUUAAGCAUUCCGCCNGGGGNNUANGGUCGCAAGAUUAAAACUCAAAGGAAUUGANGGGGCCCGCACAAGCG